Molecule: long non-coding RNA, 1228 nt
Filed under: Equus asinus (donkey)
Lineage: Eukaryota; Metazoa; Chordata; Mammalia; Perissodactyla; Equidae
Description: lncRNA (ENSEASG00005027678.1)
Source: RNAcentral
ACAGUCCCUGGGCUGACAUCACCGGCACAUCCCCAGCCCAGAGCCGGGAAGAGGCUGGAGGCAGAGGUGGGGCAGCCUCCCUCCCGGGAGCCCUCGUGGGCUGCCCAGCACACGGCGGACACGGUCACCAGUCCCAACUAACACGCGCCCAGACUCAGAUCAGAGCCGCCCGCAUGCUGGGCCCGUCGGGAGAGCCUCGGCUCCUGCUCCUGGGCCCUGUCUAACCGACGCCGGCCUCCACGAGAGAUGCUGCCCGUAAACAUUCCGGAGGCACCGAGGGGUGUGUGUGCACAGGAGGCAAAAGACAGCGAGUGGCGAGACGCUGGGGAGGAGGAAGGGCUGACUCCCACUGCCCACGGGAGAACUCGAGUCCCACCCACGAGCUUGGACCUUCCCCACGGCCCUGCCAAGGCCCCCAGCACCCAGGUCAGGCUCAGUCCCUGGGCCGUGGGCACCAUGCCCACGCAGCACACCACAGUGCUCUCAGACCCGGGCAGGCGACAGCAUAGGUCAUCUGUGCGCACACGCAGCUCCACCUCAGGAGGCCCUGGGCACACUCCAGGCUGCCCAGCCCGGCCGGGCCCCACCUCCGGCCAGACAUGCAGCAGGACAGCCCCUCUCUCCCAAGGAGCAGGCGGCACCCCGACUCUCCAUGUCACACCUCGUUCCUGGCCACCCAGAGCCCCAGCGGGCCAGCGCUGGCCCAGGGUGCUGGAUGGAGCAGAUAAACACAGGGCGCCCAGCACAACGCGGAGUCUCAGAUAACCAACGGAUCACUUGGCGCAUGGGCGUCCCACGCAGUGUUCGGGACAGACUAGCAGGAAGCAAUUUUCAGUUGUUCGUCUGAAAUUAAAACCUAGCUGGGGGCCCCUCGCCUUCACCCGGCCACAAGGACACGACGUUUCCCAGCUCCCAGGCCCUCGGGCCAAGGCGCGGGCAGGAGCCGGGGCCACAGGCACAGGGAGCUGGAUCGACCCCCCGCAGGGCUCACUGGCCAGGGCGCGAAUGGUUUCUACGCAGUUCUGUAUAUUUCCCAAAGCCAAGCAUUUCCAAAGGAAACUUAGCUUCCAGCUGGGGACGAGCUGCGGUGUCAACGCACACCCAAAUGAAAGAAGCGACCAGCCACCUCAGUGACAGUCUCGGACGCCGACCACACGUGUAAGCGGUCAGGUCCUGUAUGCACCGAGAUGAAUAAAACAAAUUUCACCUGCUGCUUUUUGCAUUUUAA